RNAcentral lists this ribosomal RNA (937 nucleotides) under Escherichia coli. Its description in RNAcentral is "bacterial SSU rRNA". It matches the Rfam family "Bacterial small subunit ribosomal RNA", at positions 52 to 983 of the family's 1533-position model. The record is from RNAcentral. Lineage: Bacteria; Pseudomonadati; Pseudomonadota; Gammaproteobacteria; Enterobacterales; Enterobacteriaceae.
CACAUGGCAGUCGAACGGUAACAGGAAGCAGCUUGCUGCUUUGCUGACGAGUGGCGGACGGGUGAGUAAUGUCUGGGAAACUGCCUGAUGGAGGGGGAUAACUACUGGAAACGGUAGCUAAUACCGCAUAACGUCGCAAGACCAAAGAGGGGGACCUUCGGGCCUCUUGCCAUCGGAUGUGCCCAGAUGGGAUUAGCUAGUAGGUGGGGUAAAGGCUCACCUAGGCGACGAUCCCUAGCUGGUCUGAGAGGAUGACCAGCCACACUGGAACUGAGACACGGUCCAGACUCCUACGGGAGGCAGCAGUGGGGAAUAUUGCACAAUGGGCGCAAGCCUGAUGCAGCCAUGCCGCGUGUAUGAAGAAGGCCUUCGGGUUGUAAAGUACUUUCAGCGGGGAGGAAGGGAGUAAAGUUAAUACCUUUGCUCAUUGACGUUACCCGCAGAAGAAGCACCGGCUAACUCCGUGCCAGCAGCCGCGGUAAUACGGAGGGUGCAAGCGUUAAUCGGAAUUACUGGGCGUAAAGCGCACGCAGGCGGUUUGUUAAGUCAGAUGUGAAAUCCCCGGGCUCAACCUGGGAACUGCAUCUGAUACUGGCAAGCUUGAGUCUCGUAGAGGGGGGUAGAAUUCCAGGUGUAGCGGUGAAAUGCGUAGAGAUCUGGAGGAAUACCGGUGGCGAAGGCGGCCCCCUGGACGAAGACUGACGCUCAUGUGCGAGAGCGUGGGGAGCAAACAAGAUUAGAUACCCUGGGAGUCCACGCCGUAGACGAUGUCUACUUGGACGUUGUGCCCUUGAGGCGUGACUUCCGGAGCUAACACGCUGAGUCGUCGCCUGCCGAGUACAGACGCAGGUUGAUAGCUAAAAAAAGUGAUGCCGGGUGCACCCGCGGGAUUAGCACGUGGGUUUUAUAAAUGCGCGCGAGGACUUACCCCUGCUGU